AGUUCGGAUUGUAGGCUGNAACUCGCCUACAUGAAGUCGGAAUUGCUAGUAAUCGCGGAUCAGCAUGCCGCGGUGAAUACGUUCCCGGGCCUUGUACACACCGCCCGUCACACCAUGGGAGUCGGUAACACCCGAAGCCUGUAGUCUAACCGCAAGGGGGACGCAGUCGAAGGUGGGAUUGAUGACUGGGGUGAAGUCGUAACAAGGUAUC
This 211-nucleotide ribosomal RNA is filed under the name uncultured bacterium. Its description in RNAcentral is "partial 16S ribosomal RNA". It matches the Rfam family "Bacterial small subunit ribosomal RNA", at positions 1290 to 1500 of the family's 1533-position model. The record is from RNAcentral.